This 237-nucleotide unclassified non-coding RNA is filed under the name Glomus sp. Its description in RNAcentral is "partial contains 5.8S ribosomal RNA and internal transcribed spacer 2". The stretch from base 1 to 71 matches the Rfam family "5.8S ribosomal RNA", at positions 84 to 154 of the family's 154-position model. The record is from RNAcentral. Lineage: Eukaryota; Fungi; Glomeromycota; Glomeromycetes; Glomerales; Glomeraceae.
GUGAAUCAUCAAAUCUUUGAACGCAAAUUGCACUCUCUGGUAUUCCGGAGAGUAUGCCUGUUUGAGGGUCAGUUUAAAUAAAAAUCGGUGUGGUUGCUGCCUUUCGUGGUGACGCACCGGAUUUGGGUCGUCUUGCCUUCGGUUAAGUGACCUAAAAUUUUGCAUGAUUUUUUCGAACGUAUUUAAAUGAUUUUUCGGACGGUUGCGAUAUCGAAUUCUAGGUUCUGGCCUCCUCAU